Molecule: ribosomal RNA, 1877 nt
Filed under: human gut metagenome
Description: bacterial LSU rRNA
Rfam family: Bacterial large subunit ribosomal RNA
Source: RNAcentral
UCAAGCUAAAAAGGGCGCAAGGUGAAUGCCUUGGCACUGGGAGCCGAUGAAAGACGUGGUAAGCUGCGAAAAGCUUCGGGGAGGAGCAAACAUCCAUUGAUCCGGAGAUAUCUGAAUGGGGCAACCCAAUGGAGUUCAUACUCCAUUAUCCAAUACUGAAUCCAUAGGUAUUGGAAGGGAACCGCCUGAACUGAAACAUCUAAGUAGGGCGAGGAAGAGACAUCAAACGAGAUUCCGUAAGUAGUGGCGAGCGAACGCGGAAGAGGGCAAACCGAGAGGAGAAAUCCUUUCGGGGUACGGACUGCUUUUAAGACUGGAAGAGUUAACAGAAUGGCAUGGGAAGGCCAACCGAAGAGUGUGAGAGUCACGUAAGUAAAAAUUCUGACAGCUGCGCAGGAUCCAGAGUACGGCCAGACACGUGAAACCUGGUCGGAACAUGGGGGGACCACCCUCCAACCCUAAAUACUACCCAGUGACCGAUAGCGUAUAGUACUGUGAAGGAAAGGUGAAAAGGACCCCGGGAGGGGAGUGAAAGAGAACCUGAAACCUUGUGCCUACAAGCACAUAGAGCCCGUCAAAGGGUGAUAUGGUACUUUUUGUAGAACGGUCCGGCGAGCGAUUGUACGUUGCGAGCUUAAGGUCUUAAGGACUGGAGGCGUAGCGAGAGCGAGUCUAAACAGGGCGUUUAGUAGCGUGCAAUGGGCCCGAAACCGGGUGACCUACCCAUGAUCAGGCUGAAGUGAAAGUAAAAUUUCAUGGAGGGCCGAACCGACCUCCGUUGAAAAGGCGGCGGAUGAAUUGUGGGUAGCGGAGAAAUUCCAAUCGAACUCGGAGAUAGCUGGUUCUCCCCGAAAUAGCUUUAGGGCUAGCCUCAUGUUAGAUAUCCGGAGGUAAAGCACUGAAUGGCCUAGCGUCCGAGAGGAUAGCGAAGCCUAUCAAACUAAGAAUGCCGGAAUAUUGAUGCAUGGGAGUCAGACAGUGUGAGAUAAAUCUCAUUGUCAAAAGGGAAACAGCCCAGAUCUACAGCUAAGGUCCCAAAUUGUAUCUAAGUGGAAAACGAUGUGGAAAUACGCAGACAACCAGGAUGUUGGCUCAGAAGCAGCCACUCAUUUAAAGAGUGCGUAAUAGCUCACUGGUCGAGCGUCUCUGCGCGGAAAAUUUAACGGGGCUAAGAUACAAACCGAAGCUUAGGCUGCACUUUUAGUGCGGGGUAGGGGAGCGUUGUGUAAGCGGAGAAACAGUAGCGAAAGCGGCUGUGGAGUUUACAGAAGUGAGAAUGCCGGAAUGAGUAGCGCGAAUGAUGUGAGAAUCAUCAUGGCCGGAAACCUCAGGUUUUUGGAGGAAGGUUCGUCCGCUCCAAGUUAGGCGGGAGCUAAGGUGAGGCCGAAAGGCGUAGCCGAUGCACAGACGGUAGAGAUUCCGUCCCCACCGAAAGAUUUAAGCGCAGGGACACUUUUAGAAGGUCGGAGCCAGGUGUUGGUUCUGGUAGAGAUCGAGGGAAGAUUAGUACCGAAGUCCGGCUGGAUAAGAGGCGAGAAAAGCUGCGUGUAUAUCUAAGGUGCCCGUACCGCAAACCGACACAGGUAGGUAGGAAGAAGAUUCUAAGGCCAACGGGAGAAGGGUUGUUAAGGAACUCGGCAAGUUGACCCCGUAACUUCGGAAUAAGGGGUGCUCAUGAAAGUGAGCCGCAGAGAAUAGGCCCAGGCAACUGUUUACCAAAAACACAGGUUUGUGCUAAAUCGAAAGAUGACGUAUACGAGCUGACGCCUGCCCGGUGCUGGAAGGUUAAAAGGAGAUGUGCAAGCAUUGAAUUGAAGCCCCAGUGAACGGCGGCCGUAACUAUAACGGUCCUAAGGUAGCGAAAUUCCUUGUCAGGU